RNAcentral lists this ribosomal RNA (429 nucleotides) under Bacteroidota bacterium. Its description in RNAcentral is "Bacteroidetes bacterium partial 16S ribosomal RNA". It matches the Rfam family "Bacterial small subunit ribosomal RNA", at positions 355 to 776 of the family's 1533-position model. Lineage: Bacteria; Pseudomonadati; Bacteroidota. The record is from RNAcentral.
UAGGGAAUCUUCGGCAAUGGGGGGAACCCUGACCGAGCAACGCCGCGUGAGUGAAGAAGGUUUUCGGAUCGUAAAGCUCUGUUGUUAAGGAAGAACGAGUGUGAGAAUGGAAAGUUCAUGCUGUGACGGUACUUAACCAGAAAGGGACGGCUAACUACGUGCCAGCAGCCGCGGUAAUACGUAGGUCCCGAGCGUUGUCCGGAUUUAUUGGGCGUAAAGCGAGCGCAGGCGGUUAGAAAAGUCUGAAGUGAAAGGCAGUGGCUCAACCAUUGUAGGCUUUGGAAACUGUUUAACUUGAGUGCAGAAGGGGAGAGUGGAAUUCCAUGUGUAGCGGUGAAAUGCGUAGAUAUAUGGAGGAACACCGGUGGCGAAAGCGACUCUCUGGUCUGUAACUGACGCUGAGGCUCGAAAGCGUGGGUAGCAAACAGG